This is a long non-coding RNA of Rhincodon typus (whale shark), 780 nucleotides long. RefSeq lists it as uncharacterized. Lineage: Eukaryota; Metazoa; Chordata; Chondrichthyes; Orectolobiformes; Rhincodontidae. The transcript has 4 exons. The record is from RefSeq and is a predicted model, not a curated record.
UUCAACAUCGCAAUCCUCAGACAGUAUUGCUGUACAGUUUUGUAUUUUCCCCCACGAGGCUCGAUUUUGUAUUAAGCUUCGUCCUGCUUCAAUUAAGACAUAUAAUCUAGAAAUGGAAAGAUUUCACUGAGACACUGGAAUACCUUCAAAGUUGGUUUGAAAUCUUCAAGAAUUUUUUUUUUAAACCGGCACUGUUUGAAUGAAUUUGUAUCAUUAUUCGUCAGGAAAAAUGUCCAAACUGAAAGGAACACUGAAGAAAAAUGGAAUUACACCGAAAACUCUGAAUAAAAUGAGAAUUGAAACGCAAGACCACAAUGUACUUCCUCCAUCAGGGAUGUGUUUUCCUGUUUACACACUGGAUUUCCUCAGAUAUCAGCGCGGAAAGGCAAUAAAAAAAGAUGACAGAAACAUUUCGGCAUUCUGAGAGAAAAAAAACGUUGAUUCCUAACAAUGAUUUAAAAAGCUUCCUCCCCAGCCCCUCACACUGCACACCGGAAGCGGCCAGAAUUAAAAACUUGACGGAUUCGAGGACUGUGUCACAACAAAUGAUUAUCAACGGGCAUGCUUACACUCCGUUCGAUUAAGGCUUUAGAACUGGUGGGCCCAUUGACUGUGCAGUAAAAUCUUCAGUAUAAGGAAAACAACUGAUCAUUCUUCAUAUUAAAGUUCACUCUGUGUAAGAAUGUGAUUCGGCGAAUGCGGUUUAAUUUUGAGGCACGAAAAGGGGAUCUCAAUGCAAACUUUUAAUCUUUAAUUGAAACCACAAAGCGAACGGAAGAU